AUCCUUGUCUUCUCUCUCUCUCUCUCUCUCGUUUCUUUUAUAACUCCAUCACUCGUUCAAAGCCACGAGGCCAAUACGUAACCUUCGAGAAUCAUCUGAAACUCUGAUCCAAUCCCUCUUUGAAACGAAACUUUCAAACCUCUCCAUCCCCUCCCAAAGGGAAAAUGAGCCGUUCAAGCCGCACCCUCUAUGUGGGCAAUUUGCCUGGGGAUACUCGUAUGAGAGAAGUCGAAGAUUUGUUUUACAAGUAUGGUACCAUUGUUGACAUUGACUUGAAGAUCCCACCAAGGCCCCCUGGUUAUGCUUUUGUUGAGUUUGAGGAUCCUCGUGAUGCUGAAGAUGCAAUUCGUGCUCGAGAUGGGUAUAACUUUGAUGGGUAUCGUUUACGGGUUGAACUUGCACACGGUGGGCGAAGGCCUUCAUCAUCAGAUCGCCAUAGCAGUUACAGUGGCAGCAGUAGCCGCGGACCUUCCAGGCGCUCUGACUAUCGUGUUUUGGUGACUGGAUUACCUUCUUCUGCUUCUUGGCAAGACCUAAAGGAUCACAUGCGCAAAGCUGGGGAUGUCUGUUUCUCUCAAGUGUUUCGUGAUCGUGGGGGCAUGACAGGGAUUGUAGAUUAUACAAGCUAUGAUGAUAUGAAAUAUGCCAUAAGGAAGCUUGAUGACUCUGAGUUUCGAAAUGCAUUUGGCCGGGCUUAUAUACGGGUCAAGGCGUAUGAUUCGAGAUAUGAUUCUAGGCGCAGCUACUCUAGAAGUCCUAGUCAUAGCCCAUAUAGUCGAAGUCCUAGUCGCAGCCUCAGCUAUAGUAGCAGGAGCAGGAGCAGGAGCAGGAGUAGGAGCAGGAGCAAGCCUCCAAGGGCCAAACAUUCGCGUCGAUCUCCAUCUGUAUCCAGGUCUCUUUCUCCGCAUUCCUGCUCAGUGUCACCUGCCCGCUCCUAUUCAAGAUCUGGCUCUUUGCGGCGAUCUGGGGAUUGGAUGUUAGGAACUUGAUGGGAUGUGGUGCUCAAAUGCCUGCAACUCUUUUUGUUGUUGAGGUAAUUCUAUCGUUGUCGAUGAGCACCUCUGGAAACCAUUAAAGGUCUAACAAUUCUGAUAUUGUGAUGUGUGGAGCGCAAAGAGAGCUAGACUGGAUCAGUAUGUAAUGGAUGGGUUGCAAUUUUAAAGCUGGACCACUUUGAAUUAAGUACUUUUACUUUUGAUACUGAAUUCUCCACAAUCAGAGAAUAGGACAUACUUGGGACUCCUCCAACAUCGACUAUUUUGUGCUCUGGAAUCUCUUUGCAUUUGAUGAUGGAGAGUUGGAGGAUAUUCUUCAUCGUUUAAGUAUUUAUGUCUUUCAGUGCUCUACUGGGUUUUUUUUCUCUUUCCAUUUUGGUUCCAUUUAGCAGUCAUGACCUUCUGUAGAAAAGAUCAUAACUAAAUGGUGAGAUCAUGAGUAGUGCGUUAAUUCUCCUUCUGCCGGUUGCUGCUUAAGAUGGGUGGUAUAUUCCAUUUUUAUGAUUAUGCUUACCCUGAGGUGAAAGUGGGUUAAGGCCUUGGGACCAAAAGGUUGUAGAGGAUUGUUCUGGAUAUUGAAUUCAUUGUUUCUGGAACUUUUUGCAGAUCUCGCUCCAGAUCCAGAUCACCAACUGCAUCUCCUUGCAGUAAGCACGUGAGCAGAAGCCCACUGAAACGCAGCAGGAGCUGCAGUAUAUCUCGAUCACGUUCAUCAUCAGUGCAAUCUGAUUGAUGUGGAUCGAACUCCAAGGAUCACAAGAUUUGUCCCUUCAGUAUAUUGUACUCUUUUCUUAGCACGAAUAUAAGGAUAAUUUGCCCAAGAACUAGUUUAUAUUUGGAUUUUGACUAAUCAAGCGAUAGUAAUUUAAACCUUUUCUCAACUCUAUGGCUUGUAGACUUAAUAACUGAGUUCGUGAACUAAUAUACGUUUAAGUCAUUAUUUGUUUAAA
This is an RNA transcript of Theobroma umbraticum, 1945 nucleotides long. It is a transcript of the gene named serine/arginine-rich splicing factor SR30-like, with no coding region annotated. The record is from RefSeq and is a predicted model, not a curated record. Lineage: Eukaryota; Viridiplantae; Streptophyta; Magnoliopsida; Malvales; Malvaceae.